Molecule: long non-coding RNA, 7250 nt
Organism: Numida meleagris (helmeted guineafowl)
Lineage: Eukaryota; Metazoa; Chordata; Aves; Galliformes; Numididae
Exons: 4
Source: RefSeq, a predicted model, not a curated record
CAGGGAGGUGCCGGGGGAGCGGGGCUUCUCGUCGCUUUGUGCACGGGCGCGGCGGGGAAGCAGGGUGCGGCGAGGAGCAGCCGGCAGCAGCCGCGCACCUGGCUGCCGCGGGGCUCCUCCCGCCGCCGGCAGCGAGCUGUGCCUCGGACGGCGCGGAAACCCCCUGAGGGCCCCGCUCCUCACUGCAACUUUUAUUUACGCACGGUACCAAAACAUCAGCGGUGACGUGAGAUCCUUAUAUAACCGUGCCGAGGAGGGGCUGUCUACCGGCACAUCGCUCUGCUAGCACACACGCGCUGCGUUCCAGAUUGCUGCCGUCUGGAAAAAUCCUCCUGCGACCGUAGAGCCGGGGCACCGCACAGCGCUGAGCCCGCGGGCCGUGCUGUGCUGCUGGGUGCGCUGCCCGCCUCAGUGCCACAGCCCCGCGUCCCCAGCGCGCCCUUGGCACGGCUGCACGAGGGUAUUUCAUUCUCAGUGCCGGGCUUUGUCAGCCUUGCCUCUGUGCCUCUUCAUGGCUCCGUGGAAAGGAGAAAGGGCCUUGAGUUAAAUGGGAGCACUUCGCGGUGAAGGUGCCUCAGUACAGCGCGUAGAGCUGACGGACGUGGUGGUCCCACAGAGAGAGCCGAAGGAGGGACGCUGCAGCUGGAGCAAGCUCCCAGACUGCAGCAGACCCCAUUCUGCCUGCUCCUCCCUUGGUGGCAGCUCGGCCCUCCUACGUGGCUAAUGGCAAGGCCUCACAGCCGUGAGGUCCUGCAGGCCUGUCCCACCUCUGGGAAUGGCUGCCCUCAGUUGUGCUUGGCAUGCAGGAGGCACAGCAGCAGCUGAAAGCUCUCCUCUGUGAUUUGCGUUCUUGCACUCAGCACAUCUCAGAAAAGCUAGGAAACAACCUUCUGGUUAAUCUUUGUGCAACACUACAGUUAUCUGCAGAGGGUCUCUUUCAGAAAGGCAUGGUAUAAUAACAACACUGCUUUCCAGAACAAUCCUUUAUUCAUCCAAUAAAGACAAGAAGGUGCUUCACUUUGGCAGAGAACAGCAUCAACAUGACAGCACUCAAAACCAGUUGUGUUUCUGAGUGGAAUACUUUAUUCCAGCAAGGAGUCUGUUAUUGGCUACAGUCCCAUGGAGGACUUCAAACAACUGAGGUGUCAUUACCAUGGUAGGAUGAUGGCCAAGAAGCAAUGGUAAUAUUCUUGGUUUUGGGAAGGCAUUUAGGAGCUGUUAAUAGUCCAAGCUCCAUCUCACAUCUAACCCACAACCACCGCUUGCUGGAGCUAUGUAGCCACGAGGGUAACCUCACCCCGAUCAGAUAGGUUUCAAUAAUGUUAGAUGAAAGAGAGCAUAAGAUUACUGAUACCUUGCAAAGUUGUUCAUCUCUCUGGUCCUUCUGAACACAGACAGCAAAGAAAAAGGUCUCCUUGACCUUCUGCAUGGUGAAUCUACCUGAAAAAGCAAUGUGGAUAAAUAAGCUUCUCAGAAGCUAAUGUAUAAACUAGAAGUUUUUGUGUAAUAGCCCUAAGGGUUAAAUGAAUGCUUCCUGAAGCUAUUCUAUCAGAAACACAUAAUUUAGUCAUUGAACCUCUGUGAAGUAUAAUUAAAAGAAAGGAUUGAGUUUGUAGAAAAGAAGUCUAACUCUGUUCUUGAAAUACUCAAGCUGUGAAAAUGAUUGGAAAAUGUUUAAAGUCCUUUCUCACAGCUUAAUUAAGAUUCACUUUUCAACUGGAGUAAGACAUUGGAAGGAAAAUCAAUGACUUUAUCAUAUGUAUGUUGGAUAUAAACAGAAAGAAAAACACCUUGGAAAUAUGUCAGCUUUAUUGUGUUUGCAUACGUAAACAUAUUUAAUAUGCAAUCGAGUGUGUAUUUGUCAGCAAACACUAGCACUAGGUAAAGUAUUUGCACAAAUAUGCUAUUGGUAUUAAUGGCUAUUUACACUUGCCUUGCCUUUCAGCAGGUUCAGCUGCAGAAAUAGCAGCAGGUCCAACAGCUAACGUUGCUGUACAUUUGUCUGAAUUCCUCAUACUUAGAAUGUCAGGUUUCCUCCAUAGGCAGGUGAGAAAUUAGGAACUUAUUUAUAAACAUGUCCAGGAGUUAUAAUUACUAACAGACAAUACAGAGGAUUACAUUCUUUAAUACCUUGCUUUCUAUACUAUAAUAUACUCACGAUGUAUCACUCAGUCAAAACAUAUACUCAUAUUUUCAUUCUGCUCUUUCUGGGCAGAUGCACUCUUGUGAUAUUACAGACUCGGAUUGUCCCUCUGGCACAUGAAGCACAGCACAGCAUGUUGGGCACAGGAGCUGGAGAGAGAAGAGACCAAAAUGCUGUCCUGUGCUUCCCAAUUGAAGAACGGAGCUUCUUGAAGCUAUUUCACUCUGUUGCUGUUUGGGCUGAGCGCUGCAGUGACAACAAUCUGGCUCACACUGAAAUUUGAAAAGUUGUUUGUGCUUACCGUGCUUAGAAUGGAUGUGCUCUGCAGGAGAAUGCACCAAAUGGCUGACUCAUUUGUUUCAAGAGAUGCCAUGUGAAUGAGGUGGGACCAUGAAGGAAGCGGUGUUACAAGGGUAAGGCAAACCUCUCAGACAAGAAUCAGUUCAAGAACCAGGGUGGUGGAAGUCUUUGCAACAAGGAAGUUAAGAACAAUUUUACCGACAAAAUUCAAGUGAGCUACACUUGCUGGAGAGAAGCAGUUACCCUGUAAAGAUUUUUAAAGCCAAUGCAACUUGAAAGAUUUUUGAAAAGUCACAAUGGUCCUUUUCUACAAAUACAAAGUUAACAAAAAGUCUGGGUCAUCCCUUUCUUUCACUGAAAAGAAAAAAACAUUACAGUGCACCUCCUCAGAGUGUGCUAUACGAAGAACAAACGGCUGUCGUACGCAGCCUAAAGUUCAAAGGCACAACAGGGUAUAGUACAGUGAGAGGAUACAUAACAGGCAGAUUUUUGUGUGAUGCCUCAUGCAUCUCCAGUAUAAUGCUGUUCUGAACAUAGGCGGUGACCUGUGUUCUAUUCUGUCUGUACACUUAUACUCUGUAUAAGGAAAAGUAUUUCCUAGACGACAAUAACUGGAAAAAAUACUCUGAAAUAAAAUUAAACAACAACUAAACAAGCAUCAAAAGCAACAACAAAAUUAAACUGAAAAAAAAAAAAAACACACCCAAGAAAAUGGAAGCCAGGAACAAAGGAAUAAUGCAGCUCUCGGCCACAUGAAAGCUCUCACACAGUUCUGCAAAGAGGAAGGAAAGCAGAAUUCAUUACCAGAAGCUCAUUGUACCAGGGCUCAGGGCAACCACAUCACUGAUGAAGGGAGAGAAGGGGGAAUAGUGGCACAGCUGGUUGCACUUUGGUAAUGAAGAAGAGUAAUGUUUCAAACUGGAAAAUGCAGUUUAAGAUGGGAGUACACAGCAUGACACACCCAAAGAUUGCCACAAAGUUUUAGUUAUUUUUUGUUUGUUCUUUUUAAUUUUUUCUUUCUUAUGACCUAUUUAGCCAAACUGCAUAUUCAACUUUCAUUGUUUCCUAAAUUGAGAAGUCUGGAACUGAACUGCAUGGCUGAAGCACAACUCAGAAAUUACAGGUGAUACCUUACCUAAUGCAGACCAUGAAAACUGAAGUGCUCACUGUCUGACAUACAGUAAUUUAAAAUACUCUUUGGAGGUCAUUCUAGUUGAGGCGUGAUAUUUUUUCCUGUCUCAGCCGGCUGUUUAUCAGUGUAUCAGUAGGUGGCAGUCAUAGAUGAUCCUGUACAAUUUCUGCUUCAUGAAAGAAAUUUAGGAAGGAAAAAAAAGCCUAUUUUGGGGUAAAGUUGCUCCUUUUGUGUGUUCACAAAUAGUGAGUGGUGAAAAUCUGCUUCACGCCCUCAUAAAUACAUCUUCCUAUAACAGACAGAAGAGUUCUUCCCGUAACAGUUCUGGUAUUUUUAGAUGUACUCAAUUUAAUCGUGCCAUAGUCCUGAAUUAAAUUAGAUGCAAAUACACAAUGUAUAUUUCAAAUACCAUUCUCCCCAAAGAUUAAAUAUGCAGAUGCCUUUAACAUUUCAUAUAGCACUUACUUUGGUAAUUUUGCCUGCUGUUUUUCACGCUUUCUAGUACUAUUUAAGGCAGUGUAAUGACGUAAACUCAUUAUUAUUACUUUUCAGUACAAGAAACCUCUAUUUCUUAGGAACCACCCCUACCCCCACAUCUCCUCUAGUCUCUUUGAAGAAACAAAUCCAGCUUCUGAUGCAAACCCCAAGAUGAGCCAUAACCGUGGCAUUUUCUAGGACAAUAUGGAUACAGAUUUUUAUCUUUGUACAAAAAAGAGAUAGGAAAACCAAUACAUCAGGUCUUUUCAAAGUCCAUUUUUUGUUCCUCCUUUCACAAAAGAAAUUCAACUGGAUAAACAAUUGCUGCAUUAAUGUUCCUAACUGUUCUUUCCUUCUGCUAGAGUUAAUGGUAUUGUUGUAAGUCAUUGCAAUAAAACAUCAUUGUCCCAUUAUUCGCUGACAGGUUCUUUGUUACAAUGCCUCUCAGAACCUGUUGGUAACAGCUCCUGCAUUUACCUUUGUGUCACUGACAGCAAAGUUUGUAUUUAUUUUCAUCUGUAGUGUGAUACAGAAUGGCUUAACUUAAAUUUACCUUCAUUUGUUCAUCUCCUUUCUCCAUAGUGUUGUGGAGCCGAGCUUAAAAAUCCUACCUACUAUCAGUAGCCCAGCAGCCCGCUGCUCAUUUAAUGCAUGGUGUAGGAAACAAAGAAGAGGAACUUGAUAUACAGUAGAGUAGAAAAUAGUUUCAAUAUUGAAAUAAUUACAUUCUCAGUUCAAUAUAAAACAAGGAGAUUAAUCUAAGGAAUGCAAAGCAGCCAGCCCCACAGAUGAUAUUGAUACAUAAUAAUUUACUGUUAAUCUACCCUUGGGAAGUCUUAUUUCAUCAGAGCACAAACAUGAGGAAGAAGGAAUGUGAAGAGGCUUGCUAAUAAUGUCAAAAUGUUCUUGAAUCCAACUUCUGUUCCAAGUUUCUCAUUCCAUGAGAUGACAGCUGCAACUCACACUGUUAACACCAAACAUGCAUUUGUUCCCCGGGCCUGAAAUACACAAGUAACAAGUCUAACAACAUAUGAAAUAAAACUCUUGAGAGAGAUGAAUGCAACACUGGAAGGGUACCUGGCCUGGUCUUGUUCUCACUGGAGUUACUGGGAACCAAAUCAGACAGUUUGAUGAGGAUAAAAACUCACUGCUUCUGCCUUUAGAAAACCUGGACAAAGCCAUAUUCUGGAGGGCUGGUUUUUUUAUUAUUUUUUGAAAACAUGUUGUACUUUGUGAAAGAGCAUUUAUUUAAUUUUAGAAAAAAAAACUUCAAGAACUUUUAGGUAUUUGUUUGUAGAGUUUGAGGUAAAGUGAGCAUGAAACUCAAAUAUCAAUAGCAGAGUAUCUAAAUCAAAUGUCAAAGCAGCAAAGAAUACAAUAACGACAAGGACAUUUUAUGGUUUGGAGGAGUUAGGGGAAAAGACAUUCUUUAAAAUGUUGAUUUUUGGACCAAGUUGGCAUAAAAAAGACAGAUGAUGUCCUUUUCAUCAGAGUGACAAUAUUCUGAUGGUGUUGAUGGUGUUCUAUAAUAAGGACGUAUAUCCCUAUGUGAUCCAAAGAUGUUAUAUCAAUUAUUUUGAACUGCUUAUCUUCUAGGUUUAUUUUUAACAUUUUUUCCCCAGCAGUUUGCUGGUAGUAUAUGUUCAUUCAAGGAACUAGCAAAUAAGGUGCAAUGAUACUAGAGAAGGCUUUCCUGUUUUCCAACAAAGCGUUACGCUUAUACGUUUUAACUUCUUCAGGUACAUUAUAGACAUCUGCUAUAAUAAAUACACAAUUUACAGUACUCAGUGUGUCUCCUUCCUUAACAUCAGAAGCACGAAGCCACCCUAAUAGAUAAUUUUUCUUUUAAACUCAUGAAAUGAUGAAAGAAACCAAAAACAUGGGAAGCCAGCUAUUAAACUUAUAAGGGAUUCAGUACAUUCACAACGACUUCGAGAAAAGCUUUUUUUCUUCUCUUUUUGCAGAAAAAUCUUACGUCCAAACCAAUCAGUCACCUUUUCUGAGAAACACUGAAUUUUUGCAGAUACAGCUCUUAAAAUGAGUGAUGUUCGAAGCUAUCGCGAAAUGCUUCAGUCUCAAGACCUCAGAUGUUAAUUAGAAGAAGAAAGCAAGCUAUUUGCACUACUGUAAUAAGCUGUGGCAAUUUUGUUAUCUUAGACGAGAGUGUUAAUGAUGAGCCACAAAUGCAAGUUUUUACAAAGCCUCUGAGAAUUAAGCAGUGUGUCCUAUAUUCCUCUCCCUUGCUGUUCCAGUGAAAACCAUACAUGCAGAAGAACAAAUGAAAAUGUUGUCAUGGUGAUCAGAGCAGUUACUGAAUCAUUUACCGUGUAGGAAGGAUUCCCUAAAGAACCUUAUUAAGCAUUUUGUUGCUCCUUUUUAACAAAUGUUUUCAGAAAGCCAUUUUUAUUUCACUGUUGAUGAAAUAACGACUCAGUAAGACAAAGCCUGUUUCUCUACCCUCCAAAAUAAAGCUGAGCAUGACAAGCAUCAAGAAAUAUUCUUGUUAAAAGUUAGGAGUGGGAACCAAGACAGAACCUAAAUAAAAAGAUCUACUCGUGACAUUUGAAUGUUUUUCAGAAUAGUUAUUGUGAAACAGCUCUGCGCUAACUAGACUACUGAUGUCCUCAGCUGGCGAAUGAAUAAACAAACCUUUAAAUGAAAGGCAUCAUGAAAAUCUAUUGGUUACAAGGAAUAUGAUUUUUUACGAUAAUACUACUAUAAUACGCGAAAUGUUAUUUUUCAAAAAUAUUUCACAAUCAAACAUGUAGGUUCGGUGUUUGAUCUGGUGAAGGAGCUAGCCUGCAGCAGAACCCCAGUCCAAACCCACCUGUGUGCGCUCUAGUAGAUGAACGCAGGGUGGCUGCAUCAUAUUUUUCAAGUUAUUGGCAAAGAAAGCUAAACCUGACCAAUGAAGACAUCUUGUAUUUCUCCUGCACAAAACAGUACAACAGACAUUGAUAGAAAAUGCUAAAAAUACAUUGAGAGGCAAGAAUGUGCACUUUGGGUUAAAUGCAAACUUCAUUCAACAAACUGCCAAAUUUUCAGCUUCUAAAUUGAAAAUGUAAGUAUAUCACAACACUCUGAGUACCUCAACUUGUCUUUGUCUUGCAGGUACUUAUGGCACAGUGUCAGCGGUUUACGGGUGUUUGGCAUGGUGGUCUCGAUGUGUAUUCUGGAACAACCUUGUUUUACUAUUGC